RNAcentral lists this small nucleolar RNA (107 nucleotides) under Gossypium arboreum. RNAcentral describes it as "Plant small nucleolar RNA R71". It matches the Rfam family "Plant small nucleolar RNA R71". Rfam says of the family: R71 is a member of the C/D box family of snoRNAs containing the C (UGAUGA) and D (CUGA) box motifs. Lineage: Eukaryota; Viridiplantae; Streptophyta; Magnoliopsida; Malvales; Malvaceae. The record is from Rfam by way of RNAcentral.
AUUCUGUAAUGAGGGCACUUUCGUAAUAAUUCUCUCUACCUUUCCCAUGCCUCAUACAAGGACUUAUCAUCUAUUUGUUGGAAGGUAGUGAUCUCAUUUCUCAACUU